Molecule: ribosomal RNA, 224 nt
Filed under: uncultured bacterium
Lineage: Bacteria
Description: partial 16S ribosomal RNA
Rfam family: Bacterial small subunit ribosomal RNA
Source: RNAcentral
GAUCCUGGCUCAGGACGAACGCUGGCGGCACGCUUAACACAUGCAAGUCGAACGAGAGAAGAGAAGCUUGCCUUUCUGAUCUAGUGGCGGACGGGUGAGUAACACGUGAGCAAUCUGCCUUUCAGAGGGGGAUACCGAUUGGAAACGAUCGUUAAUACCGCAUAAUAUAAUUGAACCGCAUUAUUUGAUUAUCAAAGAUUUAUCGCUGAAAGAUGAGCUCGCGU